AAACAAAUUCGUGGUCAGAAUUCAGUCUCUCAUUUCUACAAAAAACACUUCUCACCAUCUUUCUUCCCAAAUCCAAUUUCUUAAGAAUCAAAAUCAUGGCUUCUUCUUCUUACUUUCAACUCUCAAGUCUUCAAAUUCAAACCCCACCUCUAAAAAAAUCCAACUUUUUUGGUCAAUCUCACAAUCUUAACCUUAGUAAUAU
This 202-nucleotide long non-coding RNA is filed under the name Nicotiana benthamiana. RNAcentral's name for it is "long non-coding RNA (NBEN_LNC000083)". Lineage: Eukaryota; Viridiplantae; Streptophyta; Magnoliopsida; Solanales; Solanaceae. The record is from RNAcentral.